AGUAAUGAAGUAAAAAAUUACAGUUAGUUUCGACCUAAUUAUAGGGUAUGACCCCUUACUUAUUA
Molecule: transfer RNA, 65 nt
Filed under: Kleidocerys resedae resedae
Lineage: Eukaryota; Metazoa; Arthropoda; Insecta; Hemiptera; Lygaeidae
Description: tRNA-Arg
Source: RNAcentral